RNAcentral lists this small RNA (958 nucleotides) under Pongo abelii (Sumatran orangutan). Its description in RNAcentral is "retained intron". The record is from RNAcentral. Lineage: Eukaryota; Metazoa; Chordata; Mammalia; Primates; Hominidae.
CAGAACGAGAGGCUGAAGCUCUAAAGCGACGGCAGCAGGAGGUGGAAGAGCGGCAGAGGAUGCUUGAAGAAGAGAGGAAGAAAAGGAAACAGUUCCAAGACUUGGGCAGGAAGAUGUUGGAAGAUCCUCAGGAACGGGAACGUCGGGAACGCAGGGAGAGGAUGGAACGGGAGACCAAUGGAAAUGAGGAUGAGGAAGGGCGGCAGAAGAUCCGGGAAGAGAAGGAUAAGAGCAAGGAACUGCAUGCCAUUAAGGUGCAGGCCUUGGCUCCAUCUUCACUUCUCUCCCACACAAAAAUGAGGUUUAGUUAUUUGGCCGUUGUGAUCUCUGCAUGUGAGAAUUGGGCCUCAAAGCUCAUGUGCUUUGUGUUCUGUCCUUGGGCAGGAGCGUUAUCUGGGUGGCAUCAAAAAGCGGCGCCGAACGAGACAUCUUAAUGACCGAAAAUUUGUUUUUGAGUGGGAUGCAUCUGAGGACACAUCCAUUGACUACAACCCCCUGUACAAAGAACGGCACCAGGUGCAGUUAUUAGGGCGAGGCUUCAUUGCAGGCAUUGACCUCAAGCAGCAGAAACGAGAGCAGUCACGUUUCUAUGGAGACCUAAUGGAGAAGAGGCGAACCCUGGAAGAAAAGGAGCAGGAGGAGGCAAGACUCCGCAAACUUCGUAAGAAGGAAGCCAAGCAGCGCUGGGAUGAUCGUCAUUGGUCUCAGAAAAAGUUAGAUGAGAUGACGGACAGGGACUGGCGGAUCUUCCGUGAGGACUACAGCAUCACCACCAAAGGUGGCAAGAUCCCCAAUCCCAUCCGAUCCUGGAAAGACUCUUCUCUGCCCCCACACAUCUUGGAGGUCAUUGAUAAGUGUGGCUACAAGGAACCAACACCUAUCCAGCGUCAGGCAAUUCCCAUUGGGCUACAGAAUCGUGAUAUCAUUGGUGUGGCUGAGACUGGCAGUGGCAAGACAG